RNAcentral lists this long non-coding RNA (408 nucleotides) under Sinocyclocheilus anshuiensis. Its description in RNAcentral is "lncRNA (ENSSANG00000015438.1)". Lineage: Eukaryota; Metazoa; Chordata; Actinopteri; Cypriniformes; Cyprinidae. The record is from RNAcentral.
CAGUGGAGGACCUGAUGCUGCGAAUCUGCCAUGAAAACAAGGUUGACAGAAACAUGUCUGUAUGCCUUUACACUGCUGAUGGUAUGCCUUUGACCGAUGACCCCUUUUUCAACACAUGGUCUUUGAAUGACAGACAUAUUACAAGUGGGAGUGAACUGUAUGCCAUAUUUACACCAAGGGAAAAUUUAACAGAGUUACCACCGACACAAAGACAGGCCCACAUCAGAAAUGAAGGACCAAGUGUCAUCCGCUGUCACAUAGCGUUACAGGGAGACUUUGAAAUCAAAGUCAACCUCGAAAGUGAUACACUGAGAGAUGUGACACUACGGCUUUCUCUUGAAAGUAGUAUACCAGCACCAGUUCUUCACAUCAGGUCACUGAUGAUCAUAUCAUGGAGAUUACAUAAUU